This 613-nucleotide ribosomal RNA is filed under the name uncultured bacterium. RNAcentral describes it as "bacterial SSU rRNA". The stretch from base 1 to 520 matches the Rfam family "Bacterial small subunit ribosomal RNA", at positions 338 to 873 of the family's 1533-position model. The record is from RNAcentral.
CCUACGGGAGGCAGCAGUAAGGAAUCUUCCACAAUGGACGAAAGUCUGAUGGAGCAACGCCGCGUGCAGGAUGAAGGCUUUCGGGUCGUAAACUGCUUUUAUAUGGGAAGAUUAUGACGGUACCAUAUGAAUAAGGACCGGCUAACUACGUGCCAGCAGCCGCGGUAAUACGUAGGGUCCAAGCGAUAUCCGGAAUUACUGGGCGUAAAGCGUGUGUAGGUGGAUUAAUAAGUGUGAUGCGAAAUCCGGCGGCUCAACCGUUUGGACUGUGUCGCAUACUGUUAGUCUAGAGGACGGCAGAGGUAAGUGGAAUUACGGGUGUAGCAGUGAAAUGCGUAGAUAUCCGUAGGAACACCAAUGGCGAAGGCAGCUUACUGGGCCACACCUGACACUGAGACACGAAAGCGUGGGGAGCGAACAGGAUUAGAUACCCUGGUAGUCCACGCCGUAAACGAUGCAUACUAUUAGUAUGGGGUAUCGACCCCCUGUGCUGAGAGACUACGACGAUAAGUAUGCCGCCGUCGGGAGGUACGAGACGCGAGACGUUAAACUAACGAAACGAAGUUAGUACGGACGUGAGACGUACGCCGACGGACGACGACGAGGGAGGAGG